AAGAAAGCCCAAUUCCAGUAAAGCAAGCUGUGCAAAUCAUUUAGUAUUAUAUUUGAAAAAAAUAUAGACUUGAAUAGAAUGUAGUAAAUGUCACUGUUGUGCCUACUUUGUGCAGAGGACAUGAAAAAACUGUAAUUGCAAAGGCAGUAGUUAGAGGAUGUCGACAGAGAUUUAAGCCUAAUGUUACAAGAGCAUCUGGAAGGAAAGAAGAGCCUGGAAAAGAUGCAGGAAAUGACAAAAUGUCCCAUCCACCCCCCAAGAAAGAAACCGAAAAGAAUACUGAUGAAAGUAAUAGGUCAGAUGCUACUAAUGAAGAAGCUGCAGAGAAAAAUUAUAAAGUCCUGGAGACAAUGUCUCAGUAAGUAUCUGAAAAAUGAGAAGACAUAUGCUGCUCUCCAGCAAUUUGCCAUCCCUCUUGCUUCUGAUAGUAUUACAUAGUGUGGUAAUUACAGAAAAAAGGAAAAAAAAAACCCAAACAAAUAAGAAAGCCUACCCUCCCCCACAAAAAUACCCAACCCAACACCAAAACCCAAAUCAAAGCAGAACAGCAACAAAAAAAAACCCAGAACUUUUGUUUUUAAAGGGGGAUAGUUGAAGAGGAUGGAGGGAGAUAAACUGGGUUUCAUAAUUUGGCAG
This 636-nucleotide long non-coding RNA is filed under the name Calidris pygmaea (Spoon-billed sandpiper). RNAcentral describes it as "lncRNA (ENSCPGG00000011578.1)". Lineage: Eukaryota; Metazoa; Chordata; Aves; Charadriiformes; Scolopacidae. The record is from RNAcentral.